GGGGAGGUCUUAUAGAAAUGUAUACGGGAUACUGGAACACAUGAAUUAACAGAUAUUAGCAGUCACCUGCCUUUAUUUUUUCUAGACCAGAAGACACAUGGAACAGCGCAGAGAUGACCUACCUAAGCUCACACUUCUGGUUGGUGUCCUAAGAUUCAACUGAAUGCAGGGAACGCACUACCAUCAGGUCCCGUGAAGUGUACUGAAUGGCUCUCCAACUUGAGAUGCCUGAGGAUCAUCCUAUGAAUAGACAUUAAAAUGUACAAGCCCCUCAGCAGGCACAGAGAUUCUGACUCCCUGGGAGCCCUGAACUGGGAUAAAAUCGCUGUGAACCUCUCAACUUGAAGUGUUCUUAAAAAAACACCGAAUGUCAUGAACCAAAAGUGACUUUUUGCGCAUGACUCGAGUCAUCCUGUGCCUCACAUUCUAAGUGAAAGAACAAGCUAGAGUGCCAUGCCUUCCAUGCACACGGUUCCUAGUGCUAAAUACAAGCUUCCAAAGCCUACAAAACUACUACUUGUCAUGGAUUCAGAUUUCUAAUUAGGAGACAGAGGACAGUGAAACACGUGGGUCAGCUGCUGACCAGUGUGGUGAGAGAACACCAGCGCAGGGCGGAGGGUGGAGGGCGGAGGGUGGAUGAGGAGGGAGGAUCACUGCUGCUUCAUUAGGAGACACUGUGGAGAAGGUGAAG
RNAcentral lists this long non-coding RNA (691 nucleotides) under Mus pahari (shrew mouse). Its description in RNAcentral is "lncRNA (MGP_PahariEiJ_G0004492.1)". Lineage: Eukaryota; Metazoa; Chordata; Mammalia; Rodentia; Muridae. The record is from RNAcentral.